GACGAACGCUGGCGGCGUGCUUAACACAUGCAAGUCGAACGGAAAGGCCCUGCUUUUGUGGGGUGCUCGAGUGGCGAACGGGUGAGUAACACGUGAGUAACCUGCCCUUGACUUUGGGAUAACUUCAGGAAACUGGGGCUAAUACCGGAUAGGAGCUCCUGCUACAUGGUGGGGGUUGGAAAGUUUCGGCGGUUGGGGAUGGACGCGCGGCUUAUCAGCUUGUUGGUGGGGUAGUGGCUUACCAAGGCUUUGACGGGUAGCCGGGCUGAGAGGGUGACCGGCCACAUUGGGACUGAGAUACGGCCCAGACUCCUACGGGAGGCAGCAGUGGGGAAGAUUGCACAAUGGGCGGAAGCCUGAUGCAGCAACGCCGCGUGCGGGAUGACGGCCUUCGGGUUGUAAACCGCUUUCGCCUGUGACGAAGCGUGAGUGACGGUAAUGGGUAAAGAAGCACCGGCUAACUACGUG
This 468-nucleotide ribosomal RNA is filed under the name uncultured bacterium. RNAcentral's name for it is "partial 16S ribosomal RNA". It matches the Rfam family "Bacterial small subunit ribosomal RNA", at positions 28 to 507 of the family's 1533-position model. The record is from RNAcentral.